Long non-coding RNA from Aedes aegypti (yellow fever mosquito), 276 nucleotides. RefSeq lists it as uncharacterized. The record is from RefSeq and is a predicted model, not a curated record. The transcript is spliced from 2 exons. NCBI's taxonomy places the organism in Eukaryota, Metazoa, Arthropoda, Insecta, Diptera, Culicidae.
AAUGGAGACGCAUGGUUGAUCAACUCUGAUGCACCAGGUGAAACCAUUCAUGCUGCCCGGAAUGGGACGACGAUAUCAUGUGCCAUUCAUAACUGCUCAAGCAGGUUGUCUAUCAGGGGAUCUUCCUAUCUAGGUUACUCAUAGUGGCACUUAAAACCUAGGAGAACCCGAAAACCAAGUCAUGUUUCAUAAGCUCAGACCGGCUCGGACAGUGUCAACCGAAAACGUCGUCGUCUCUGUUGGGCCCAAAAAAAUAACGUUCAAUAAGAGACACGA